ACUUAAGCAUAUCAAUAAGCGGAGGAAAAGAAACCAACAGGGAUUGCCUUAGUAACGGCGAGUGAAGCGGCAACAGCUCAAAUUUGAAAUCUGGCCCUCGGGUCCGAAUUGUAAUUUGUAGAGGAUGAUUUUGGUGCGGUAUCUUCCGAGUUCCUUGGAACAGGACGCCUUAGAGGGUGAGAGCCCCGUACGGUUGAAUGCCUAGCCUCUGUAAAUCUCCUUCGACGAGUCGAGUAGUUUGGGAAUGCUGCUCUAAAUGGGAGGUAAAUUUCUUCUAAAGCUAAAUAUUGGCCAGAGACCGAUAGCGCACAAGUAGAGUGAUCGAAAGAUGAAAAGCACUUUGAAAAGAGGGUUAAAUAGCACGUGAAAUUGUUGAAAGGGAAGGAUUUGUGACCAGACUUUUUCUGGGCGGAUCAUCCGGGGUUCUCUCCGGUGCACUUUGCCCAGUAAAGGCCAGCAUCGAUUUUCGGCGGCGGAUAAAAGCAGUGGGAAUGUGGCUCCCUACGGGGAGUGUUAUAGCCCAUUGUAUAAUACGCUGCUGGGGAUCGAGGUACGCGCUUCUGCAAGGAUGCUGGCGUAAUGGUUAUCAAUCACCCGUCUUGAAACACGGACCAAGGAGUCGAACAUUUAUGCGAGUGUUUGGGUGUUAAACCCUCACGCGUAAUGAAAGUGAACGGAGGUGAGAGCCCGUACGGGUGCAUCAUCGACCGAUCCUGAAGUUUUCGGAUGGAUUUGAGUAAGAGCAUAACUGUUCGGACCCGAAAGAUGGUGAACUAUGCGUGGAUAGGGUGAAGCCAGAGGAAACUCUGGUGGAGGCUCGCAGCGGUUCUGACGUGCAAAUCGAUCGUCAAAUCUGCGCAUGGGGGCGAAAGACUAAUCGAACCAUCUAGUAGCUGGUUACCGCCGAAGUUUCCCUC
This 917-nucleotide ribosomal RNA is filed under the name Pestalotiopsis heterocornis. RNAcentral's name for it is "LSU rRNA". It matches the Rfam family "Eukaryotic large subunit ribosomal RNA", at positions 32 to 974 of the family's 3401-position model. The record is from RNAcentral. Lineage: Eukaryota; Fungi; Ascomycota; Sordariomycetes; Amphisphaeriales; Sporocadaceae.